UACGAAGGGGGCUAGCGUUGCUCGGAAUCACUGGCGUAAAGGGUGCGUAGGCGGGUCUUUAAGUCAGGGGUGAAAUCCUGGAGCUCAACUCCAGAACUGCCUUUGAUACUGAGAGCUUGAGUCCGGGAGAGGUGAGUGGAACUGCCGAGUGUAGAGGUGAAAUUCGUAGAUAUUCGCAAGAACACCAGUGGCGAAGGCGGCUCACUGGCCCGGUACCUGACGCUGAGGUGCGAAAGCGUGGGGAGCAAACAGG
RNAcentral lists this ribosomal RNA (253 nucleotides) under uncultured bacterium. Its description in RNAcentral is "partial 16S ribosomal RNA". It matches the Rfam family "Bacterial small subunit ribosomal RNA", at positions 524 to 776 of the family's 1533-position model. The record is from RNAcentral.